This 403-nucleotide ribosomal RNA is filed under the name bacterium. RNAcentral's name for it is "partial 16S ribosomal RNA". It matches the Rfam family "Bacterial small subunit ribosomal RNA", at positions 355 to 776 of the family's 1533-position model. The record is from RNAcentral.
UGGGGAAUAUUGCACAAUGGGGGAAACCCUGAUGCAGCGACGCCGCGUGAACGAAGAAGGUAUUCGUAUCGUAAAGUUCUGUCCUAUGGGAAGAUAAUGACAGUACCAUAGAAGAAAGCUCCGGCUAAAUACGUGCCAGCAGCCGCGGUAAUACGUAUGGAGCGAGCGUUGUCCGGAAUUAUUGGGCGUAAAGGGUACGCAGGCGGUUUAUUAAGUCGAAUGUUAAAGAUCGGGGCUCAACCCCGCAAAGCAUUGGAAACUGAUAAACUUGAGUAGUGGAGAGGAAAGUGGAAUUCCUAGUGUAGUGGUGAAAUACGUAGAUAUUAGGAGGAAUACCAGUAGCGAAGGCGACUUUCUGGACACAAACUGACGCUGAGGUACGAAAGCGUGGGGAGCAAACAGG